UCCGUAGGGUGAACCUGCGGAGGGAUCAUUACUGAGUUUACGCUCUAUAACCCUUUGUGAACAUACCUAUAACUGUUGCUUCGGCGGGUAGGGUCUCCGCGACCCUCCCGGCCUCCCGCCUCCGGGCGGGUCGGCGCCCGCCGGAGGAUAACCAAACUCUGAUUUAACGACGUUUCUUCUGAGUGGUACAAGCAAAUAAUCAAAACUUUUAACAACGGAUCUCUUGGUUCUGGCAUCGAUGAAGAACGCAGCGAAAUGCGAUAAGUAAUGUGAAUUGCAGAAUUCAGUGAAUCAUCGAAUCUUUGAACGCACAUUGCGCCCGCCAGCAUUCUGGCGGGCAUGCCUGUUCGAGCGUCAUUUCAACCCUCAAGCUCUGCUUGGUGUUGGGGCCCUACAGCUGAUGUAGGCCCUCAAAGGUAGUGGCGGACCCUCCCGGAGCCUCCUUUGCGUAGUAACUUUACGUCUCGCACUGGGAUCCGGAGGGACUCUUGCCGUAAAACCCCCCAAUUUUCCAAAGGUUGACCUCGGAUCAGGUAGGAAUACCCGCUGAACUUAAGCAUAUCAAUAAGCGGAGGAA
RNAcentral lists this ribosomal RNA (577 nucleotides) under Colletotrichum gloeosporioides. Its description in RNAcentral is "eukaryotic LSU rRNA". The stretch from base 204 to 357 matches the Rfam family "5.8S ribosomal RNA". Lineage: Eukaryota; Fungi; Ascomycota; Sordariomycetes; Glomerellales; Glomerellaceae. The record is from RNAcentral.